Eucalyptus grandis is the source of this 758-nucleotide long non-coding RNA. RefSeq lists it as uncharacterized. The transcript has 2 exons. The record is from RefSeq and is a predicted model, not a curated record. NCBI's taxonomy places the organism in Eukaryota, Viridiplantae, Streptophyta, Magnoliopsida, Myrtales, Myrtaceae.
CCCUAGACAUCCCCCUAGCUCGUGAAUGAGCCUCUUGAAUUUGCUCAGAUGAUGGGGCGUUUUAUCAGCGCCACUAGCUCGGGCAAAAGAAAUGGCGAAAGCGAUCGGAAUGGUGGCGACGCCGAGACUGUCUCUUCUCAGCCGACAAUUCUUCAGAAAAAGGAUAUCUGGAAGUGCAAGUAGAAUGCUUCUUUGGAAUACUCAUUUGAGCAAGACUACAUGAUCUACUUAUGUUAUUAAAGUACUACAUAAGUAGAUAGUCACUAGGCCUCGACCUUGGACCAUCAUCAUGGUCGAGGCAUUGUGAGUAGCUCUACUACUAGCGGAGUCUUAUGAAAUUCACAGAUAAACGAAGACUUUACUUGCUUGAUGGUUAAUUCUUGCGAUGUAUGUACUCUUGGAUGAAAGUAUUUGAGAGAAGAAUAAGAUUUAUAGUGUAUCUUUCGGCUUUUUGUUAAUGAGUGAUUUAGAUCACACCAUUAAAAUUCAAGUGAGAUCUUCUAUCCUGUUUCGGUGUAAAGCAAAAGGGAUGAAAUUGCUUUCCUCAAUCAUAGCUAAAUGUUGUUGAAUAAUGCUAGGGUUCCAAAGUCCAAAGUCCAAAGUAUUGGACUAAAAUUAGGCAGGAUUUCUAAAAAAUUCCAGAGACUGCAAGUUGAAACAAUCAGCUACUUGUUCACAGUGAUUGGAUUCGAGAGCUUCGUUGUACAAACCUCAUUUGUGGGGCGAUAUGUCUUUUCAGAAGCAAUAAUUUGGUGUUA